GACGAACGCUGGCGGCGUGCUUAACACAUGCAAGUCGAACGGAAAGGCCCUGCUUUUGUGGGGUGCUCGAGUGGCGAACGGGUGAGUAACACGUGAGUAACCUGCCCUUGACUUUGGGAUAACUUCAGGAAACUGGGGCUAAUACCGGAUAGGAGCUCCUGCUGCAUGGUGGGGGUGGGAAAGUUUCGGCGGUUGGGGAUGGACUCGCGGCUUAUCAGCUUGUUGGUGGGGUAGUGGCUUACCAAGGCUUUGACGGGUAGCCGGCCUGAGAGGGUGACCGGCCACAUUGGGACUGGGAUACGGCCCAGACUCCGACGGGAGGCAGCAGUGGGGAAUGUUGCACAAUGGGCGGAAGCCUGAUGCAGCAACGCCGCGUGCGGGAUGACGGCCUUCGGGUUGUAAACCGCUUUCGCCUGUGACGAAGCGUGAGUGACGGUAAUGGGUAAAGAAGCACCGGCUAACUACGUGC
This 469-nucleotide ribosomal RNA is filed under the name uncultured bacterium. RNAcentral's name for it is "partial 16S ribosomal RNA". It matches the Rfam family "Bacterial small subunit ribosomal RNA", at positions 28 to 508 of the family's 1533-position model. The record is from RNAcentral.